Long non-coding RNA from Mus musculus (house mouse), 5489 nucleotides. RefSeq annotates it as predicted gene, 40960. The record is from RefSeq and is a predicted model, not a curated record. NCBI's taxonomy places the organism in Eukaryota, Metazoa, Chordata, Mammalia, Rodentia, Muridae. The transcript has 3 exons.
AGGGCCUGAUGCUCCUCUAGCUACUGUUUGCCACUUGUUCUUUGACCUGGAAGCCACACCCAAGGAGACACUACUCUGCCAGGACUCAGGCUGGCUGCUUCAACAAGGCUUCCCCAGCUAACUUCUGCUGGGUGUUUGUGAGCCUCUGAUUUGAUGACUUCACCUUGGACUUGAUCUCUUCACCUGGCGACCCCAGUCCUUGAGCUUUGACUGGCUGAUGCUUAGUCCUGCUAGACGCUAUGAUGAAGACUGUGCCAUAUCUGGGGAACAGAGUGCCACAGCAGCCUCAUUUGAAGCCACAAUUCUGUAUAUAGAUCAGGACGCAAAAUGGAAAGAGAAGUGGCUGCCAGCUGUAUUCCUUGAUUUCUAGAAUAGUGUAUCCUGACUCUGAGGAGUUAGCAGCAUGUUGUGGUCUCUGACUCUAAGAAGACAUCGUGUCCUGUAAAUUAGAACCUUGUCCAUUCAGGAUCUUUGUCCCUCCACUGGCAAGAUUUACAUGUGCCAGUCGGCAAGAGAACCAUUUGCAAAGCCCACCUCCGCCAUCACGAAGCAGACCAGUGAGGGUGGACUGAAGCACUGUAGAGCAAUGACCUGAUGACCGGCACAGAGAAGGAGGUGUGCCAGGAGGUGACAUCAGAGGGAAGGCAGGGAGCACACCAACACAUGGCAGCACACUGUUAUCCAAGCAGAGCCCAGCAAAUAUGACCGCUCAUCAAGACAAGACCGGCACAAUCAGGAAAAGACAGAAAAUACACUUCCUUCCCACCACCACCGAGAGGACAAGCUUAACCCAAGCACUGGGGCUGCGUGUUCUCAGUCCUGUUGGAUUCUAAGCAAACCAUCCUUAAGAGAAUCUUCCUGUGACACUGGGCUGAGUACUUUCUCUCAUUUGCUGAGACUGUGGCCAAGGCAUGGAGAACCACACUGCUUCCUAACAACCAGGGCUAGGUUGGAGGCUGUGAUUCAUUGGCUCAUCCUUUGUCCUAAAGAUGUUCAGCUCCAAGACCAUCCCCUCCCAGUGGCCCUGGCUGGUUCCUGAGAACUCUAUGCAUGGAGGAUGUCCUUGUACUCGUAUGCAGCAAACGUUGACCCUGAGCCGUUCUCAUUACAACCCUGGCUUCUUGGAUGCUGACGAGGUCUCCCAGCCUGGUGUUAAGCAAUCUUGCAUGCAUGUAUCGGUGUUGGAAAGGGCAUCCAAGGAGAACUGGUCUGUUACCAAAGUUGGUUCUGUCAUAACCAGGGUCCCUUUUGACCUUUGUUUUUGGUAGGCUAGACUUUUGGAAAGAGAAACAGGGAAGCAAACAGCUACUCUGGGACCUGCGGCAUUUGAGGUUGAGGAAAACAUUGGUCAACAUCCGGUCCCUUAGCUGUCAGACGGACGCUGUCUCCAAGUCGUGGCCUUGGUUUCGUAACAUCUCAGUUCAGGGUCACAGAGCGAACACUGUCUUGGUUGAGGAGCACUCUGAGAGCUUCAGAGACUUCUCCAGGAAUCUCGUGGCCCUACUUAACCUGCUCAUAAAUGUCUUCCUCUUGCCCUCUUGCCUCCUCUCUCUCCAAACAAGUCAAAUCUCAAGUCCCUGGCUUUGAUGGCCAUGACCCUUCUAAGACCAUGGACCACACACUGGGUAGCAUGGGCCUGCAGUGUAUGGAGAGUUGACUUAGGAACUCCCAAGUUGAGAAUGCAAGUCUAACCCAUGCAAUGAGACUGGAUAGAACUGCUGGCCCUAGAGCUGGGUCUCAAACAAGAAGGUGUAGAGGAUGGGCGGGACUUAUGCAGGAGCCUCUGAAGUCCCUGUGAGAAGAACAUCACGCUGGCUUCCUACUUCCACCACCACAGCCCUUCCUGAGCCAUCUACGUCCUCCUCCCUCCUGCUUCUCCCCUUGGUUCCUCUCCUGAUCUCUGAGGAUGGGGGUCAUUUUAUCACUGGGUAUGGACACAAAUGGAGUCAUUCCUGCCCACUCUCUUCUCAACUAUGGACUAGCUGAAACAAUGAGACUGCAGGAAUCCCAAGUAGGCGCAUUUGGAAGAUAUGAAUAACCGCAAAGGCAAAAGCUGAGAAUGGCUCCUGCCAGGGUGAGCGCAGGAAGUGGGUGGAAGUGGGAAGGACUCUAUUAAUUCCCUCCGACCUUGAAUGAGUCAUGACUCUCAACUUCCUACUCAAGUGUCUGGAUGCUGCGCUUCGGUCAUGACUAAGGCUCUCUGGUGGGCACACACUGCCUUUUGUAUCCACACAGCCAUCCUAACUCCAAAUUGCCCCUAUUGCUCAGAGCAUCCCUGCAUACAGCCUUCAGUGGCUUUACUCCCUGUUACUACCACUUCCUGGCCCAGCCUUUGAGCUUUAGCCCUCUGCCCAUGUGUUUGUAGCUUGGCGUUAAUCUCCCUACACUCAGCACACUAGAUCCUAAGCCCUGCAGUCUCAGCACAAAGCCAUCUCCUCAGGGUGGCUCUCCCAGGCCCACUGGCUCACUCUCAUCAAGGCAGACGACCUCUUCAUCCAUGAGUCUCCUGCCCAUGCCUUUCACACCAGGCUGCAGCCACCAUCAAGUCAGAUGUCAUCACUGUCUCCAUGAACCCUGGCUCAAACAUGGAGAAAGAACGCUCUGUAGCCCCAUAUUCUGCCCCUGAUGGUCCCCAGCCUGCUGACUCCAUUGACUGAGACACCAGUCUUCCCAGUUAUAGUAUCACCAACCUAAGAGCAGGCCCCACACCCAGGGUCUCCGAUGGAGCCCGGGCUGCCGUGCACUCAGAGAAAGGAGCAAUUGUAGGCUGGGGUUUGUCUCCAUCUUCCCAGAGGCUAUCUAGCUGAAGACACCAAUGCUCAAGGUGUGGGGGCUUCAAGGGCUCCAAGUUGGCAGAAUGGAAUCUACAGGGCUUCUGGAAAGAAGUUGGAAGUUGGGAGCACUGACUUUAAGUCCUUGCUGUGUGAGAGAGAAGUGGGGAACUAUGGCCAUACCCAGCAUCCAGCAGCAGGCCCUCCUUCCUGGGCAGCCGUGGACGAAGCCUCCAGUUCCAGCUUCUACUGUGUGCAGACUCCUUAGUACCGUUACCUUCAUCCAGACUCCAGCAAGCCCUAGUAGAAAGGGCUUUUCCGAGCGCUGUUUACAUUCUUGUCGUUUUUGCCUGUGUUUAGACUCAUGAAAAAAAAAAAAAAGCAACACAUUUCAAACAUUUCCAAGCAAUCCCAGGCCCUUGUGGGUUUCACAUAAACUACCCUAUAAACCAGUGAACUUCAGAGUCUCCAACUCCACAAAAAUCAUAAACCCUCAAAGCUGUAAGCCCAUGAAGAUUCUCUGAUCCAACAUUCUUGUUUCAUGGCCAGAAAAACCCAGGCUCGGGAGGGGAAGGCCUCGCCUAGGCACCCUGGAGCUGAGUAUAGAGCUGAUCUCUACCAUGCAACUCACGGAUCCCAACCCAGUACAAAACACUGCAGCCCACGAACACAUCGCCUCUGCCAGCAUGUGGUUCUGGUUUUUUAAAAGAACUGACUUGAGGUUUGGAAAUAUUAAUGUGCCUAGGAUUUUGGCAAAGGAAUGUGUGUUAAGUGUACAGGCUUGGCUGACAGCCAUGCCCCAGCGCCAGGCAGGCUGCUGUAGGAUGAGAAUACUCUGGGACUUGAUGUGUGGGGUGCGCCUGCUGUGCGAGGCCCCAGAAUCACUGGAUGGAAGUGUGGCUCCCCUCGAAGUCAAUAUCGUCUACCAGGAGCCGCUCUCACGGGAGAUGUAAGAUAACCUUGCCUUCAGAAGAGUCUUCGCGAACUCCAGAAGAUGCUAGAGGCCAAGUUCUAGUAUGAGCCAGGAAGGCACCAAACAGACCCUAAGCCAUCUGGGCCAACACCUUUCCCUCCACCAUAACAGGCCCAGGCAGGAAAUUAAGCAAAGCUCUUUCUGAACUUCUGCAAAGGAAUUUCCUGGAGGGUCCUGGAGGCCCAGUGCUCCGAGGAAUCAUGUUACAACAAAAGCUACAGGCCCCCAGGUUCUUGCCACAGCACCUGUUCUGCAGAGCACCUUGGAAUCCUAUCCUGGCCUGUGAUGGCAGGGAGGCUGGCUCUACAGCCCCGGGAAGCCAGAAGAUGUCUUCCUAGCUGUAGACACAGGACAGGCAUCUCCCCACUUGCCCUCAUCUCUGUAUCUUAAGGCCCAGGAGAGCCCUCUGCACAUAUCCUGAGCUAUGUCCUCUCUAAAGCUGGGAGACAGCUGAUUGGUAAAGCAAGACGAGGGCCACCCUGACCCUAAUAGUCUCUCCAAACCAAAGGCCUGAAGCAUCUUCCAGCAGUCACUGACAACUUCUCUAAGCCUUGUGUCAAAACUUCAGGAUAUUGUGGACCAACAAGAAUGUAAGAGAAGCCAAUUCACAAUAACCUGCUGCCCAGCCUGAAACUCGCAGAAAAAUAAUAUAAUCCAAAUAAAAUCUUGAGUCUAGUUAAUACUAUGUACCAACCUUGAUCUCUCAAUCUUUUUGUCUCUCCCUAACUUCAAUCCAUCUCUCCCUCUGCCUCUCUCUAUGUAGCCCAGGCUUCCCAGUUAAAUAAUAUGCAUCCCCAGUAAGAAAUCAUUCUGCACACUUAGAAAUUAAUAAAGGAAAAGAUUUUUUAUUGGUAAGAGAAUAAAAGUGCAUGGCUGGUAGCAGCUAAUGCCCAAGGAAAAAGCAACCAUGAAUAGAUUUUCCUAACAUGCAUACCUAAGUCCUUUCAUGUCCUGGCCCCAGGUUACACUUCCAAUAAUUUAAACACAGUCAGGAGACUCCAAGUCUGGCCACUUGGGCAGACGGAAGAUUUACACAGCAAAGAUAGUGCCAGGAUUAUUUUAGGUACACCAGUGUUAGUCUUUUUGAAUAGUUUUUACCCAGGUUCAUCUUGCCCACCUGGCAGGAUUAUGCUUUUCCUGAUAAAAAUGCAGGGGCUGAACCAAGAAACCCAGAUCUUUAAGGGUAGCUGUGACCCCGCACUGGGCUCUUGAGCUGGCCAGCGAGGCAUGUUUUUUGGGAGAUGAGCCUAAUGGCUAGUCGGUCCUGAUGAAUAAAAAUUCGCAGCCUAGCAAUGUAAAUUUUGCUUAUCUCUAACAGGCUGGCUAACACACUACUUAUCUUUGGGUAUUUGGAGCCAGCACUCCCUUAGUUAAAUUCUGCAUUUGUGAUUUAACGUCUCUUAAGCAAAUCUUUUAGUAAAUCCUUUAUAGCUUGUACUCUUUCUUCUACAUUGGCCCUUAUCCCCAGUCCUCCAGCCUCCCUCUUCCAAGCACUGAGAUGACAGGCCUAUGCCACCUGUGCAUGUGAGUGUGGGGACUCGGGACCCACAGAAGUGCGCAGAGGUCAGAGGGCAACUUUUGGGGACCAGUUCUCUCCUACUGUGGAAUCCUAGGAUGAGAGACAGCUUGUCUCAGCACUUGAACCCACUGAGCCAUUUUGCUGGCCCCAUGCCUGACUUCCUUAGUCUCUUUAAGUUGUAAAAAACUCUUUCCAAAGUUGCUUAUUUCCAGAGUUUUGUGAAGCA